CCAUUACUGUACCUACCAUUUAUUUUUAUAUCCAAAUAGGAAACAAGCAGGCAUCUUACCCAACCUCUGUUGGGUGAGGCUGCAAAGUGAUGUGCUGCUUUUAGGCACUGAUAGAUGGGAAGACCACCAAGAAAGGCUACGUCAUCAGCCCCAGUCGUCCUCUUUCUUCAUGGCCACGUUUUCCAUGCACAGGCCCAGGGACCAGAUCUGUAUCUACUCUUCGGAGACAUGGAGAAGUUCACAACCCAAUAUUUAGUGGCCAAUGUAAAAGAUGUACUUAAUUAUACAUUGUCUGGUCUGAACAGAUGACAUAUUCAGGCAUUCUCAUACUGUUUUCCUUCACUGGGGAUUGGGAACUGACUGCCACCAGUUCCUGCAACAGCACUGUGAGUACUGGCCUCACUGCAGAGCUGGGUACUCGAUGAACAGCCGGAGCACAGCAGGCUUUUCCUGUGAUAUCUCAGUGCAACUGAUAGCACAGUCAUAGAUGGCAUUUCAUAUGUGCCCUCUGAGGGCUCAUUCUGUUGAUUGCCAAUGGCAAUUUUGUGCCUGAACCCCUUUGAGGCUUCUCAAAAGCCUCCCCUGGCCCAGAAUAGAAAUGCCUUUCCCAGAGCUGUGUGAGCACUGGCAUCUCUUGCCUUUUAUCUCCCAUUCAGCCUGCGGAGUGAAUAUCCCGAUCAUCCGCUCCUGGUGGGCAGCCCAGAGGUUUGGGGCUCUGCUUUGCUUCCUGCCUGAGAGCCCUGAUGGGGGAGCGCACACCAGGAUGGGAUGCAGCCUUUUUCCACGAGUGACUCACGUCAUGGUCCCAAGGGGAGGUGGGGAAGGCGAGGCUGCUCGAACACCUCUGUACCUCACAUAUUGGAUUGGCUGCAAGAAUGGGGUCAGCUCAGCCUCCCGGUAG
RNAcentral lists this long non-coding RNA (901 nucleotides) under Anas platyrhynchos platyrhynchos (common mallard). RNAcentral describes it as "lncRNA (ENSAPLG00000019529.1)". Lineage: Eukaryota; Metazoa; Chordata; Aves; Anseriformes; Anatidae. The record is from RNAcentral.